Molecule: ribosomal RNA, 348 nt
Filed under: uncultured bacterium
Lineage: Bacteria
Description: bacterial SSU rRNA
Rfam family: Bacterial small subunit ribosomal RNA
Source: RNAcentral
GUGAGUAGUUCAGAGUUUGAUCCUGGCUCAGGAUGAACGCUAGCGGCAGGCUUAACACAUGCAAGUCGAGGGGCAGCAUGAACCGACCUUCGGGAAGGUUUGAUGGCGACCGGCGCAAGGGUGCGUAACGCGUGAGCAACUUGCCCGUUUCAGGGGGAUAACCGGUGGAAACGCCGACUAAUACCCCAUAGUAAUUGACUUUAGGCAUCUUUAGUCAAUUAAAGAAUUUCGGAAACGGAUAGGCUCGCGUGACAUUAGCUAGAUGGCGGGGUAACGGCCCACCAUGGCAACGAUGUCUAGGGGUUCUGAGAGGAAGGUCCCCCACACUGGAACUGAGACACGGUCCAG